Molecule: transfer RNA, 81 nt
Rfam family: tRNA
About the family: Transfer RNA (tRNA) molecules are approximately 80 nucleotides in length. Their secondary structure includes four short double-helical elements and three loops (D, anti-codon, and T loops).
Source: Rfam
GGUUCUUUGGUGGAGUGGUUAACACGCAUCCCUGCUAAGGAUGUUCCUUCGGGAGCGCAGGUUCGAACCCUGCAGGAACCG